UGAGGUUCUAUACAGUGUUUGGAUCCUACGGCCACUUCAAAGCUCUACUCCGGUUAUAAACUGUGGCUUUUGUUGUUUGGUUUUUCCUGAUUUUAAUGAUGUCUGUUUUGUGUGUGUCGGUUUCUAUGUGUAUGUGUGUGUCUCGGUAUGUCUGUUUCCUCUGACUUUGUGUGUUGUGUUGACUAUGGCCUUUUGGGUUCCGACAAGGGGCAGAGAGGACAGAGCUGUUUGACUGAAGAGAGGGAGGGAGGACACAGCUGGGGACGAUGGUGGAGGAGAGGACAAUGAACCCUCCCUUCAUCAUCCAGGCCUUCCGCUUCAGGGUGUCAGAGUCCACCGUGUCCCACGUCUGGAGCACCUGGAUGGAGCUGCUGCAGAGACGGAUGAGACAGGGAGAGGGUUGAAAAGGGAGUAUGCGGUGGGGAGAGUAGGGAGGGUAACCUCUUGGUGGAAGGAGGGGGGCAUAGAGAGGUAGAGGUGUGGAGAGAGUGGGGCCAAAAAUAAAUACAAAAUACAAAGAAAGUUUGAAUGAAACCUAGGUAACAUCAGAUUACAUACUGUACCUGCCCCAUAGCAUGACCUUGACUCUUAUCAGUGAAUAAUAAUUAGAAUGUCGGUAGAAUCGUGAGAUAAUGCUGGUUUUAGGUUGUAUUUUGUAGUCCACCAAAACAAAGCCAUUGUUUUGACUACUCAGGAUCUCAGACUUAACGAACCACGUGAUUGUUAGAGAUAACUGUUAUCGGUAGGAGUUUUAUAUUUCCUGUGCUUUUCACCUAUACUGUUAUUGUGACCUAUAAGCCUUGAGCACCCUCAUUCCCUCUCCCCACCAGAUCCCCAGCCAGCGUUACAUCACUCUUUCCAGCCCCACCUAGCCAACGGCUCUAGGUUCUCGAGUGUGCCGACACCCUCUCCGACGUCCACUCCAGCCUCCGCAAGCGAGGGGACACACCCAACCCCUCCUACCAGGCCCUACCACUACCUCUGCAGCGAACGUGUCUGCUGUCUGAUGGACAAGGGGAUGGCGUUCCAUUACCUGAGGGUGGUGCACCCUGCCCGGAUCGGUGUGCUGCUUCCUGGCCUGCCUCCUGCACCGUCCUCAGGGAAUCAAAUAGGUCCAAGACCAAGGGCCUCUGUGACAACUAUCUCUGCGAGCAGGCCCAGACUAACUACCUCCACGAGGAGGCCCAAGCUAACCACCUACAUGUGAGGAGGCCCAGACUUCUAUCUCCACAUGGAGACCUUUGUCAACAACCUCCUUGAGGAGAACCAUGUUGACCUCGUCGAGGAGGCCCCUGUUUACAACUUCAGUGAGAAAGCCUGUCUACUACCUCUGCGAGGAGGCCCAUGUCAACAACGUUCUACAUUGGGGAGUAGUUUGGGACUCUUGAUUGAGAAAGGACAACUAAAAGUUGCAUGGGCCUCCUGAAAGAUGUUUGAGUUAUUUUUAUUGUUUAUCUUUUCUGAAUUGUGUACAAUGAAUUGUUUAUUACUACUGUUAAGACAAAAUGGAAUUGACUUAAUAACAAGACACCUUGUUCCAAAGUUCAUAAUAAAACUUUUUG
Molecule: long non-coding RNA, 1562 nt
Filed under: Salmo salar (Atlantic salmon)
Lineage: Eukaryota; Metazoa; Chordata; Actinopteri; Salmoniformes; Salmonidae
Description: lncRNA (ENSSSAG00000082558.1)
Source: RNAcentral